Molecule: long non-coding RNA, 627 nt
Organism: Suricata suricatta (meerkat)
Lineage: Eukaryota; Metazoa; Chordata; Mammalia; Carnivora; Herpestidae
Exons: 4
Source: RefSeq, a predicted model, not a curated record
GCCUGGAAAGACAUUUCCCAGAGUCCAGUAGCCCCUCGUUCCCCGGUUUUAUUUCCCAGGGUUUCUGUUACCACGGCCAAUCGUGAUCCGGAAGCAGAUGGUCCUCCUCCUGAGGAUUGAUCCUCAGCAAGUCAGUAGUAGCCUAACGCUACGUCUCACGGCCUGUGCCAUUCACCUCACUUCAUGGCAUCAUGGAGGCAUUUUAUCAUUUCUCAUUUUCUCAAGAAGAAGGGUUCCACGUCUGUUGUGGCCUCUUCCAACAAUGACAGCAGCUCGGCUGAUAUCUGCUGCACGGACUCAAUGUUGCUAAACAAGCUAUCCACAUCCAGCCGAUCAAUCUGAAGAAACAAAAACACUGAGCACCAGCUGAUGGAGAGGGACGCACUGUAUUUAGGACGUUUUCUCCUGCUAAGAAAAUAAAUAAGAAAUUUCCAGAUUCAGAAAGUCACCAGUUAACUACCAACUUGAGAACUGUAAGAGGAUUAAAUGAGCAUACCAUGAGGCCUUUGGAACAGAACCCGACGAACGAUCGUUUGCCGAGUAACCAUUCUUCCUUCAUUGGGAAAGAAGACGGAUUGGAGAAGUGGCAUCUAAGAGCACACAGUGUUACAUGGCUUGGAACAUUGA